Molecule: transfer RNA, 76 nt
Filed under: Planctomycetota bacterium
Lineage: Bacteria; Pseudomonadati; Planctomycetota
Description: Planctomycetes bacterium tRNA-Ala
Rfam family: tRNA
About the family: Transfer RNA (tRNA) molecules are approximately 80 nucleotides in length.
Source: RNAcentral
GGGGGCGUAGCUCAAUCGGGAGAGCGUCUGCUUUGCAAGCAGAAGGUCGUCGGUUCGAUUCCGGUCGCCUCCACCA